Molecule: ribosomal RNA, 439 nt
Filed under: uncultured bacterium
Lineage: Bacteria
Description: partial 16S ribosomal RNA
Rfam family: Bacterial small subunit ribosomal RNA
Source: RNAcentral
CUACGGGUCGCUGCAGUGGGGAAUAUUGCACAAUGGACGAAAGUCUGAUGCAGCAACGCCGCGUGGAGGAUGACACAUUUCGGUGCGUAAACUCCUUUUAUAUGAGAAGAUAAUGACGGUAUCAUAUGAAUAAGCACCGGCUAACUCCGUGCCAGCAGCCGCGGUAAUACGGGGGGUGCAAGCGUUACUCGGAAUCACUGGGCGUAAAGAGCAUGUAGGCGGAUUAAUAAGUUGGAAGUGAAAUCCUAUAGCUUAACUAUAGAACUGCUUCCAAAACUGUUGAUCUAGAAUAUGGGAGAGGUAGAUGGAAUUUCUGGUGUAGGGGUAAAAUCCGUAGAGAUCAGAAGGAAUACCGAUUGCGAAGGCGAUCUACUGGAACAUUAUUGACGCUCAGAUGCGAAAGCGUGGGGAGCAAACAGGAUUAGAUACCCCUGUAGUC